This 253-nucleotide ribosomal RNA is filed under the name uncultured bacterium. RNAcentral describes it as "partial 16S ribosomal RNA". It matches the Rfam family "Bacterial small subunit ribosomal RNA", at positions 524 to 776 of the family's 1533-position model. The record is from RNAcentral.
UACGGAGGGGGCUAGCGUUGUUCGGAAUUACUGGGCGUAAAGCGCACGUAGGCGGCUUUGUAAGUUAGAGGUGAAAGCCCGGAGCUCAACUCCGGAAUUGCCUUUAAGACUGCAUCGCUAGAAUUGUGGAGAGGUAAGUGGAAUUCCGAGUGUAGAGGUGAAAUUCGUAGAUAUUCGGAGGAACACCAGUGGCGAAGGCGACUUACUGGACACAUAUUGACGCUGAGGUGCGAAAGCGUGGGGAGCAAACAGG